Molecule: long non-coding RNA, 216 nt
Filed under: Linum usitatissimum (flax)
Lineage: Eukaryota; Viridiplantae; Streptophyta; Magnoliopsida; Malpighiales; Linaceae
Description: long non-coding RNA (LUSI_LNC000192)
Source: RNAcentral
AGGAGGACUUGGUGGAGGUGGAGGACUAGGUGGCGGGACUGGUGGUGGAUUUGGAGCUGGUGCUGGUGCGGGUGGUGGAGCAGGAGGUGGGCUUGGUGGUGGCGCAGGAGGAGGUGGAGGGUUUGGAGGCGGUGGGGGUGCUGGCGGAGGACUAGGCGGUGGGUCAGGGUUCGGAGGAGGAGCUGGAUUCGGAGGUGGUGCUGGGACCGGGGGUGA